This 451-nucleotide ribosomal RNA is filed under the name uncultured bacterium. RNAcentral describes it as "partial 16S ribosomal RNA". It matches the Rfam family "Bacterial small subunit ribosomal RNA", at positions 28 to 507 of the family's 1533-position model. The record is from RNAcentral.
GAUGAAUGCUGGCGGCGUGCCUAACACAUGCAAGUCGAGCGGCAGCGAGGGGUGCUUGCACCCUGUCGGCGAGCGGCGAACGGCUGAGUAACGCGUAGGAAUUUGCCCCAAAGUGAGGAAUAACUGCCCGAAAGGGUAGCUAAUGCCGCAUAUGGUCUUCGGAUUAAAGGAUUUAUCCGCUUUGGGAGAAGCCUGCGUUGGAUUAGGUUGUUGGUAGGGUAAUGGCCUACCAAGCCGAUGAUCCAUAGCUGGUCUGAGAGGAUGAUCAGCCAGACUGGAACUGAGACACGGUCCAGACUCCUACGGGAGGCAGCAGUGAGGAAUCUUCCACAAUGGGCGAAAGCCUGAUGGAGCAACGCCGCGUGAAGGAUGAAGGCCUUCGGGUUGUAAACUUCUUUUAUGAGUGAAGAAUAUGACGGUAACUCGUGAAUAAGCACCGGCUAACUACGUG